CCCCUACACGUGACGCCAUCUGGACACCCACACUGGCUGGGUGGCACCCACCCACCGCCGUCCUGGGAAGCCAUCACCGCUCAUCUGUGCCCGCGGCUACAGAGGACAGCAAGGGUUUUCUUCAGAGUCUAUUUUUUCAGCAACAAGGACCCCAGUCUUCCUGCUGCUGCCAGGAAGAGCAGGGAGAGCGCCGCGUGCGAGAUGAGCCCCAACACUGCCCGCCUUACCGCCGCUGCCCCGCCCAUCACCAUCACCACUAACCUUGCCCUGCGGGCACCGGGAGGCCUGAGCCGGUUUGCCCAGGCCCCUGGGUGCCCCUGCCCACCUACACCUUGAGGGGCUGUCCUGUGUUAGGCAGUGGCCAUGGUCCAGUGUCCUGUUGUGUUGUUCUCACACACGCCACCUAGCCACCCAUGCGCUGCUUGACCACAGCAACCCCUCUUCAGUGCGGCAGACAUCACUCCUCGCAUCGUGGACUGAGGCUGCAGCAUUGGAGCAAACAGCAUUAUAUCACUCUUCCUUUCUCUUUUUUCCUUUUUUUUUUUUUUUUUUUGUUGUUGUUGUUUGUUGUUCAUUUAAACAUGUAUUUAGAACUGCACUUUGUCAGAACCUUCCCUUCCCUCCUUACUCCCCCGUUAACUGCGGUUUUUACGGAUCUCUAGAGCAGUUCAAACCCUAAGUGCUCGAGCGCUCACACAUCCCCUCUGGUGCUUGGUUGAACAAGGGAAUCACGAGACAAUGAAAAUGCAGAGACUGGACUUGGGGGUCGUUCUGUGCCUUCCAGCAUCUUGUACAGCAAACCCUGACUUGUCUUUUUACCCCCAAAAUAUCGUCUUCAGUAGCGACUGAAUCUGCCACUGUCAAAAUACGUUACUUGCAUUUAUUCCAAAUAAUCUCGUUUACUCUUAACUGUUUAUGCAAAUUGUAUAAGGUUUCUUAUGCCCAAGCUUGAAAAAUGAUUUCCCAGUAGACAAGAGGCCCCCACCCAUCCUCCAAUUGUGUUUAUUUACCUGAGAAGAUCAUACAAAAGCCCUCCCCUCCAGUCCUAGCAGGGCAGCUGUGAGCCGAGGGGAGGGGGAGGCUUGUGCAGGUACAAACGACCUCAAGGACUGCGGCCUGCAACUGGAGACUGCUAAGCCCUGAUGUCUGGUGCCGAGGUCGGUCGUCUGCAGGGUUUUGCCCUUGGUUUACUGAGGGGGGCUGGGCUGCUGCUGGUCCCCCCUUCUGACGUGCAAUGCAAAAGGGACAUCAUGUAUACGCAGCGUUUAUUUGGAGUUUUUCCUUUGGCUUUUUUUCCUCUCUUUCAGUUAUGAAACUUGUAUGCAUGGAUUUCACAUCUCCAUAGCUAGACCCGCCAUGGGCAUUAUGACCGUGUCUCCUAAAGGGUCGGUUUUGUUACGCAACACGAAGAAUGCUGUCUCAGCCUUGUUUUUCUAGAGUUGUGUUUUUCAGUCAUUUCUUCAAGGAAAACUAAAUGAUUUAGUUGGAGCAAAGCUUUAAGUGUGUUGGUGUGCUUCUGUGUGGCUGCCCUGUUGCCUAGGAGAUCCCAGUGAUUUGGUCCCCUUUGAGCCUUUGGCUCCAGGGGCGCUCACUCCUCUCAGCAGAGCCUCUCCUUGCCACAGCCCUGGUCACCCUCAGUUCCCUGGUCUCCAUGGUCCAGCACUGGCUCCAAUAUGGGAAGGGAGUGCUGUCUAUGUGUGCCCCAGGGGCUCUUCCCCACUUACCAGAAUGACUUAGAUCUGGGAAGGGCGUGUCAUCUCAUCCAUUGUUCCUCCUGGAUCCUUCCUCCCCCUGCCUCUGGUUGGAUCACAGUUUGGCUCCCGUGGACUAGUAACUUGUCCGGGACCUCUAGGACAUAGCGUCGAGGUCAUCCAGCCACUUCUGCCUGAUGCCUGGGCCCCAGUCCUGGGUGAAGUUGGCAAAGCACUGGGUAUCUGGUGCAGCUGCCGUGGAUGGUGGCCCUGCUCCCUGCAGGGUCUGAGGUAGACUUGAGGGCAGCCCGGCACUGCAUGCCUGUCUCCUUCUGAGGAAGGCUGCAGAUUUCAGAGAAAGGGAAGAGAGGUUUCCACCAUGUUGGCUGUUGACCCUCCCUGUGUGUUAAACCCUUGACCGGUUCACUCGUUUCUAUCCUAGAAGAUUUUUAACAAAGGGAAAAACCAACAGCAAUAAAGUCAUUGGUGAGCAGCUAACUGGUACACACCCUGCUUUUCACACACAACAAGGCAGUGUAAAGACAACUCACAUGUAAAUAACUUUUCUCCAUUUCACACCGUUGUAGCAUAACGUGUAUAUGGUGACUCCUUUUCCAGAAACCUUCUUACCUGCUGGUUGUCUUGUUUCCUGGGUUGUUUUUAACUGAAGAAAAAAAAAAAUGCUCAUUUGCCAGAGGGGACAAAAGCAUCUUGUGGCAUUUCCCAUGUGGUGUCCUCCAUGGCACCCCCUCUCCCAGUUCCUACGCAGGUUAUCCCCUGUGGUUUCUCCCCACAUGCCUACCCCAGGGCUGAUGGGGAGGGGCUCUUGCUUUAAGUCAGAAGUCUCAAAUGACACGCUCAUCAACGAAAGAAAAAAAAAAAACCACCCCACCUCAACUUUCAUAACUGCCCAAACCCCUGCGCCCUCCAGUCCUACGCUGCUGCUAACGACAAUACGACGGCUUACUCUGCUACUCGAGAACUAUUUUUAUGUAAUUAAUGUAUGCUUUCUUGUUUAUAAAUGCCUGAUUUAAAAAAAAAGGAAACAAAGAAAAAGCUUGCCAUAUUUAUCUAU
Molecule: long non-coding RNA, 2766 nt
Filed under: Rattus norvegicus (Norway rat)
Lineage: Eukaryota; Metazoa; Chordata; Mammalia; Rodentia; Muridae
Description: long non-coding RNA NONRATT023936
Source: RNAcentral